AACGCACCUUGCGCUCCUUGGUAUUCCGAGGAGCAUGCCUGUUUGAGUGUCAUUAAAUUCUCAACCCAUUCAAGUUUUUGAUACUUGAUAUGUGGCUUGGAUAUGGGGGUUUUGCAGGUCUCAGUUCGAGGUCAGCUCCCCUUAAAUGCAUUAGCGGAACUGUUUGCAAUCCGUCACUGGUGUGAUAAUUAUCUACAUCGUAGGGUUGCUCUCUGUCUGUUCAGCUUCUAACAGUCCCUUCAUAGGGACAACUUUUGACAGUUUGACCUCAAAUCAGGUAGGACUACCCGCUGAACUUAA
This 300-nucleotide unclassified non-coding RNA is filed under the name uncultured fungus. Its description in RNAcentral is "sequence contains ITS2". The stretch from base 1 to 52 matches the Rfam family "5.8S ribosomal RNA", at positions 103 to 154 of the family's 154-position model. The record is from RNAcentral. Lineage: Eukaryota; Fungi.